GAUGAACGCUGGCGGCGUGCCUAAUACAUGCAAGUCGAGCGGACGGACCAGGAGCUUGCUUCUCUGAUGUUAGCGGCGGACGGGAAAGGAAAACGUGUAUAACCUACCUAUAAGACUCGGAUAACUACGGCAAACCGGAGCUAAUACGGGAUGAUAUUUUGGACCGCAUGCGUCCAAAGUGGAACACGGGUUUGCUGUCACUUAUGGAUGGAUCCGCGCUUCAUUAGCUAGUUGGUAAGGUAACGGCUUACCAAGGCAACGAUGCAUAGCCGACCUGAGCGAGUGAUCGGCCACACUGGAACUGAGACACGGUCCAGACUCCUACGGGAGGAAGCAGUAGGGAAUUUUGCGAAGUGGGAGAAGGCCUGACGGAGCAACGCGGCGUGAGUGAUGAAGGUAUUCGGAUCGUAAAGCUCUGUUAUUAGGGAAGAACAAAUGUGUAAGUAACUGUGGACACAUUGACGGUACCUAAUCAGAAAGCCACGGCUAACUACGUG
RNAcentral lists this ribosomal RNA (497 nucleotides) under uncultured bacterium. RNAcentral's name for it is "partial 16S ribosomal RNA". It matches the Rfam family "Bacterial small subunit ribosomal RNA", at positions 28 to 507 of the family's 1533-position model. The record is from RNAcentral.